Molecule: ribosomal RNA, 264 nt
Filed under: Triticum aestivum (bread wheat)
Lineage: Eukaryota; Viridiplantae; Streptophyta; Magnoliopsida; Poales; Poaceae
Description: partial small subunit ribosomal RNA
Source: RNAcentral
AUGGCUAGAUGUUCCAUCUGUGGGCUGGAGGAUGAGAAUGAAUAUCAUGCAGUAAUUGCCUGUACCAAAGCAAGAGCGCUCAGGUCUGAAUUACGCAAAUUCUGGCACCUUCCGUCAGAGAACCGGUUCUGCUACACGGGGAAUGAUUGGCUCCUUGUACUGUUAGACGCAUGCGAUGAAACUACGAGGGCCCGGAUCCUCUUGCUGAUUUGGAGAGCUUGGCACCUUCGGAACAACUGUGUACAUGAGGGAGGAAAAGCAUCA